Molecule: long non-coding RNA, 638 nt
Organism: Phragmites australis (common reed)
Lineage: Eukaryota; Viridiplantae; Streptophyta; Magnoliopsida; Poales; Poaceae
Exons: 3
Source: RefSeq, a predicted model, not a curated record
CGACGCCCGCAGAUCUCGAGCGUGCCGUCCACCCUCUACAUCCUGUUUGCGCCCCCAUCAUCCUCCCAUGGGCCGUGGGUGUUGUGCUCCCUAGCGUGCUCCGCUCCUCUGAAAUCCCCUUCAGAUCCAGCUGUAGUGAGGAGGGGGCAGGCGGUGGCCAGAUCUGGAGGAGGUUGUCGCAUUCUCAUCGCGUCCGUGCAGCCAUCCCCUCCACUCAACGGCGCCCUGCUGCCUGUCCUCCAUCGCCCUCCCCUGGCCCCCGGCAUGUACCUCCCCUCGCAAUGCCUUCCUCCCUGAGCAAGGCACUAAACAUAUGGAAGCUACAGCCUGUACCAUACUGCUUUUGGAAGAGUGGCCACGUAUUGUAAACUACGGGGAACUCAGAUAAUUAGAUGGAUAAUUCAUGCACAGCUCAAGGAAGAGAUGAAAAUAGCAAUAUGAAGAAGUUACCAAUCUGAUGAAAUGAGAUGCAUUCUGAUUUGAGAGAGAAGCAGAUCAAACAUGUUAAUUUGAUUAUACUACAGUUCAGUUGUGUAGUAUUUGGUGCAUAGUUCGAGCUGAAGUGUGUAUUAAGAGGUUGCAUAUAUGUACCAUAUACAAUACUAAAUUAUUAAUGAAAAUCUUUUCAGCAGCUAUUC